GACGGAGGGCGCAAGCGUUGUUCGGAAUUACUGGGCGUAAAGCGCGGGCAGGCGGUCUGUUAAGUCGUUUGUGAAAAUCCGGGGCUCAACCCCGGAAAUGCGUACGAUACUGGCAGGCUGGAGACUGGUAGAGGCUAGCGGAAUUCCUGGUGUAGCGGUGGAAUGCGUAGAUAUUAGGAAGAACACCAGUGGCGAAGGCGGCUCACUGGUCCGGUACUGACGCUGAGGUGCGAAAGCGUGGGGAGCAAACAGG
RNAcentral lists this ribosomal RNA (253 nucleotides) under uncultured bacterium. RNAcentral describes it as "partial 16S ribosomal RNA". It matches the Rfam family "Bacterial small subunit ribosomal RNA", at positions 524 to 776 of the family's 1533-position model. The record is from RNAcentral.